Molecule: long non-coding RNA, 1599 nt
Organism: Cynocephalus volans (Philippine flying lemur)
Lineage: Eukaryota; Metazoa; Chordata; Mammalia; Dermoptera; Cynocephalidae
Exons: 2
Source: RefSeq, a predicted model, not a curated record
AUGCCCAUCAACCUCUGCCCUUACUUGCUUCUACUUGUAUUAUCUUCAACCCUCAUGAGGCAUUUCAAAGUUAAUCUGCACCAAGGGUACUUAAUCUGGGCAUAAUGAAUGUUUUACCACAAAAGCAGUCCAGGGGGUGAUGAAGAAAAGUUUAAUAAGGUGAGUCGGAUUCAGGGAUUUCAGGAAGCAAGGAAUGGAUGAUCUCAAGAUGAAUAAGGGACAGGACAAAUGCUUAGGAGCACAGACUAGAACAUCAGACCGGGCAAACAUUACAAAUGACCAGGACAGACCGACGACAGCGGGGCAGGAGUUCAGUCUUGCUGAAGAAGAGCUCCGGGUUGCACCUAUAGUCUAGCUGCAGUUCAACCACUGUCAUAACCCUGGCUCCUGGCCUCAGCAACAGGGAAGGACCAGUCACCUCGGAGGUUCCCAGGCUCCAGGCAGGUUCGUGGAGCGUCCCGGAGGCCUCCCACCUCGCAGGGACGCCAGCCCGGCUCGGGCUUCCCCGACACCCGGCCCCACAGGCCUAAAAAUAGGCUCUGCGCGGCGGCCAGGGCCGGGGCGGGCGGCCGAGGAGCCGGGCCGGGGGUCCCCGGGGUCCCCGGGGCUGCUGCGGCGGAGGCGGCCGGUCCCCGCGAUCGGGCCCCACUCCGGACCCCAGCUCCGCGUCCCCGCCCCGACCCCGCCGCCGCCCGCCCGCCCUUCACGGUGACAGCAGGAGGAGGCGACGAUACGGAAGCGGGGACGGGGGCUCAGCGGGGUCCAGAUGGCUCCCGGCCGCCCCGCUCCCGAGCCCCGGGCCCCGUCCCCGCCCCGCGGCGGGUACCUGUCAUGGUGCUGCCGGGCGGGCGCCAACGGGACGCGCAGGCCGAGGGAGCACAGCCGGCGAGCAGCGCAGCACGGCCGCCCGGGCCUCUUAUAGCCGCCGUCACGUGGCUGCCGCGCCCGGGCCUGGGCCUGCCCUGCGGGCCCUUCCCGUCCCCCUGAGCCCUGAGCCAAGAGCUGCCGGGGACCUCGGGUGGACAGUGGCAUCUAACUCCAAAGAAGCCGAGGGUCGCACCCAGAUCACUGUAGUUAUAACUCGCCUGAGCUGCUUGAAUUGAACUUAAACUUUAACUCCACUUUUUCACCUGGAAUUUCACAUCAGCCUCUGGAAUCAUUCCUGUGUGCUCACAGUGGUUUUGUAGACUUAACCGAAAGGUACAAUGAAUAGCUGGUAAGAAUUGUUUAGAUUCUCGGAGCCAUCUGUAUCAAUUGGAUAUUUAAGUGCUUCGUUUAAUUCUCUGUUGGGAAAAUAUGGAAAAAAAUGGUCAGGGUCCCUCGUAUGUUCGGAGUCUUGCCGAGCGUCUGAGGAAGAAGAAGCGUCUGUGGUCUAUCACUUUUGAGUAUUUUGGCCAACAACUUGGCAUCUUGGGAAUUUAUCCAGCAUGCUUUUCAGAAGUAUUCAGAGACCCUUCUAGAAGAAAGCAAAGUCAAGAAUAUUAAAGAUUUAUGCCUCUUGUGUAAUUUGGCUGCAAGAAACAAAGCCAGUUUCUGCUCAGCACCUAAGAUGAACUGAAAACUGAAAAUAAACACAUGGAUAAUUAAUAAAUAUGUAUA